UUGUGUGUAUGUGUGUAGUUAACGGUGUUAACACCUGUGUUUCAGGUGUAUCAGUAUGAAGCAGGCGGUGACGGCGCACUGAUUCACUCUCGGAGCUCGGUUCACUAAUGACCGAAUCACCGAGGAACUGACCAAAGAUAACUCACACCCGCACGGAGAAGAAGAACAAGAGGAGGAGAAGAUGAGCUGGAGUGGGGCAAAGAGAACUGCAUUCAGAUCAAACGGUGGCUGAGUUGUUUGAGGAUCUGAAGAAUUGAGUGUCACAAUUCAACAUGCACAUCAGCGAAACUUCUCCCUCUGACUACACCAGCGCGCGCACACAGAAAUUCAUAGUGCAGGUGGCGAUUGCAGGCGCAUUUUAUCCGAACUGCUUCCUCCAGGGAACUGUGGACGAGGAGCUCGCCUCCAAGGAGCUCUAUGGAAACGACCCCAGGACCACCGUAGUGGUAUUCAGUCAGCUUCCAUUUAACUAGGGGAUUAAUAUUAUUAUUAAUAAUAUAUUUCUCUCUCUCCCUCCCUCUCUCUCUCUCAGGUGUGUAAUCUCCCUCCAUUUGCAUUCCUCUACUAUAAACAGCUCCAGUCUCUCUUCAGACACUGUGGUUAAGUCAAAUCCAUCUCCUUUGACAGCUCCAGGGCCUAUGUAGAGUUCUACCGCUCGUCAAUGAGAGGUUCUGGCGUUCUCCCAGAGGUCUCUCUGUCUCUCCUCCUCGCGCAGCAGAGACUUCCUCUCCAUCUCAACGUUUAACCUGCUGGAGAGGUGGAGACUUGGGCAGGGGGGUAGUGUAUCUCACACCUCAGAUAUACACGGGUGAAUGUGGAUUUUCAGAAUCAGUCAGUGAGCCCUGUCGGGGUUCUGAGCAGCUCCAUUGAGUUGGAGAAUCUUCCGUCUAACCCUGUCUUUAUCGUCAAUAUCACCGAGGUGUCUGUUCCGCCUCUUUCACUUUCAGUGCACAAAUAAAAAAAAAAAAGCAGUGGCUCCUGUGUGUGUCUCUGUGUGUGUGUGUGUGCCACUAACAGGAUUUGUGUGUGUGUGUGUGUGUGUGUGUGUAGGUCAUCGAAGUGGGGCAUUUCUGGGGUUUCCAGGCUCACGAGGCAAGUCUGGAGAAACAGAGGUGGCUGACAGUGGCCGUUAAUACACGGGCGCUCUGCC
This is a long non-coding RNA of Ictalurus furcatus (blue catfish), 1150 nucleotides long. RefSeq lists it as uncharacterized. The transcript is spliced from 6 exons. The record is from RefSeq and is a predicted model, not a curated record. Lineage: Eukaryota; Metazoa; Chordata; Actinopteri; Siluriformes; Ictaluridae.